GUGGAAACCUGAACCAAGAUAAAACCCAAAAUCUGGCACAUCAGAUUAUUCUGUCUUCUGGCUUCGGUGACUAAUUUUGGAGACCCAGGCCUUUUCCUGGAAUGAUUAAGUAAGAGGUGCUUUCUUUCUGUUGGGAGUCCUUAGUAUACGAAAUGUAAGCUGGUACUUUUCCUUAUCUUUUCUACUAUACAAGAAGAGCCUUUUGUGAGAACAAAGCUAACACUUAAGAAAAUCAUUUCAAGGAAUAGAGAAGAUUUUCUUGAUGGAUUCAGCCGUACUUGAAACUCUGAUUUACCUCCAGGCUUUUCAAUUACCCAGCUUAUUGAUACCUCCUAUCACAGGAAGAGCCUUCCUUGCUGCCCUACCUGACCUACAUAAAGCAAUGGAAAUAAUUGAUUAGGAACAAAAAGACCUUAAACCCAUCUGUAUUCAGCAAAAACUUCUACUGAAGAUAGUAACCUAUGAGCAACCUCAACACACAAGAAUGAGAAGUUACUUCUGUUUUGAUGUUUUUUUCCUAAAUGAUCUAAGCAAACAGGGCUAUGGCAGAGAGCACAUCUCACUAAGGCCAACUUGGUAGCAGGCCACCUUGAUGCUAUCAAUUUUGCAAUCCCAGCUGGUGUUUCUGUACAGUUUUAAGAGAAGGCCCUGUGCAUGGCCCUUAUGAACUCCCC
This 674-nucleotide long non-coding RNA is filed under the name Aotus nancymaae (Ma's night monkey). Its description in RNAcentral is "lncRNA (ENSANAG00000039503.1)". The record is from RNAcentral. Lineage: Eukaryota; Metazoa; Chordata; Mammalia; Primates; Aotidae.